GAAAUCACGAGGGGCGGUACCAUCCGUAGCAGCUCAGCUGAUGCCCAAACUCACCGUGGACCAGAGCCGAUGUCCGGGAGCCUUUGGAUGCAGCUCAUGAGGAUGCGGAAGAUGCGCACGGUCACCACUGGACUUUGAGCUCCGGCAUCACAAGACCGCUUGGACAUGCGAGACUCGCUGCCACUAACUGGUGCCUUCCAGCUCUAACUUCCAUGACCGUGAGUCUAUAGUUUUGCCUGGGCCCUGAGCCCUUUCCAUGGCCGGUAAGUACUGGUGACAACUGUCACCUCGUUGGCAGCGGGGAAGCGGCCAGCUCUGGAGGACUGUGGCAGGCCGGGAGUCUGUAGGGAUAUUUGCACACCCACGGCCUGUCUGCGCUCCAGGACAGUAAGUGGAGCCCACACUAGCGAGCCCACGGGCAGGCUUACGGCUUCACCACGCUCAGACAAGGGGCAGGUGAUCGGGUAAAGCUAAAAACAGGUAACAGAUUUUCACCCACUCCAGGGCCACUUUUCUCCUCUAUGGACUGCUCAACCCCCACCCGCUGAGUCAGAAUAAAGAUAGUUCAAUUCCCGAGGGACGUUGCCAAGAACCCUCGUUCCUCAACCAAAGACUCACAUCUGAGGAAUGUGAUGCAUGAGCGUAAGGGCUCUCAGCAGUGACCUUGAACCAAGAACACACAAAAGCUGAGAAGUCAGCUGACUUCAGAAGUGUACAGGACCCAGCUUCAUGCCUCGAAGAAGCUGCAGCGGUGAUCACAAAUGCUUCCUCCAUGACUUAAACAAAAAUAAAAAAAUAAAAAAACCUCGCUCCCACCACCCUUCCUGCAGACUUUUGGCUUCAAUAGACGGGGUUAUCCGGGUGCCCCCGUGAGGUCUCAGCAUUCAACGCUCAGGAUCACAGAGAUGAGAGCUGUCCUCUCGUCUGCGGACGUCCUAGGAGAAAGAGAAGGGAACGGGCCGUAUCGGUCACGAAUAGACUGGCCCAAGGGCUUCAUAAACAUCAUUGCAUCUUUUUUUAAAAAGAUUUUAUUUAUUUAUUC
Canis lupus familiaris (dog) is the source of this 1042-nucleotide long non-coding RNA. RefSeq lists it as uncharacterized. NCBI's taxonomy places the organism in Eukaryota, Metazoa, Chordata, Mammalia, Carnivora, Canidae. The record is from RefSeq and is a predicted model, not a curated record. The transcript has 6 exons.